Oncorhynchus keta (chum salmon) is the source of this 558-nucleotide long non-coding RNA. RefSeq lists it as uncharacterized. NCBI's taxonomy places the organism in Eukaryota, Metazoa, Chordata, Actinopteri, Salmoniformes, Salmonidae. The record is from RefSeq and is a predicted model, not a curated record. The transcript is spliced from 2 exons.
UUAAAACACUUGUAACACGAAGUUCCAUUGCUAUCGGGAAACCGGGCACUGAUGUGUAAAUUGAUCAGUAGACUUUCUUCGGUCUCUCUCUGGCUGCGUUUACACAGGAAACCCAAUUCUGAUAUUUUUUUCACUAAUUGGUGUUUUGACCAAUCAGAUCAGCUCUGAAAAAAAUCUGACGUGAAGAAAUCUGUGAUUGGUCAAAAGACCAAUUAGUGGAAAAAAUAUCAGUAUUGGGCUGCCUGUCUAAACGCAGCCUCUCUCGGAGUAAUUACCACUCAGCUGUUCUAAAGAACAACCAAUGGCAGUCUUCCAAUGACUGAGUUCAUAUUCUUUGUGCCACGCUCAAUUUGGAAUAGUGAUUGUUGGGCCGGCCUGCCUGCCACCCUCUCAGGGCACUGGAGAAUGCAACCAACCAGGAAAAACAGCCCCAAACCUACCAUAUCUGGUGAGGUAUCCAUCUCCUGGGCAGACGUGUCGUCUUUGUCAUAUGGAUUUCAGCAAUCUCCUCUCACCUUUUCUGUAACAAAAUAAUGCACAUAAACAAAUUCUGGUUUA